Molecule: ribosomal RNA, 396 nt
Filed under: Vibrio fluvialis
Lineage: Bacteria; Pseudomonadati; Pseudomonadota; Gammaproteobacteria; Vibrionales; Vibrionaceae
Description: bacterial SSU rRNA
Rfam family: Bacterial small subunit ribosomal RNA
Source: RNAcentral
GGACCUUCGGGCCUCUCGCGUCAGGAUAUGCCCAGGUGGGAUUAGCUAGUUGGUGAGGUAAGGCUCACCAGGCGACGAUCCCUAGCUGGUCUGAGAGGAUGAUCAGCAAACUGGCUGAGACACGGCCAGACUCCUACGGGAGGCACCAUUGGGAAAUAUUGCACAAUGGGCCCAACCCUGAUGCACCCAUGCCGCGUGUAUGAAAAAGGCCUUCGGGUUUUAAGUACUUCCACCAUUGAGGAAGGAGGUUUCGUUAUACCGGUAUCUUUUAACAUUACCUCCAAAGAAGCACGGCUACUCCGUGCCAGCACCGGCAUUAAUAUGGGGGGUGACAACAAUCAACGGUUUUCCCGGGUGUAAGGCGCAUGCAGUGGGUUUGUUUAAAUCGCAUGGGAA